UGCAGUCGAGCGGGGGAAGGUAGCUUGCUACUGGACCUAGCGGCGGACGGGUGAGUAAUGCUUAGGAAUCUGCCUAUUAGUGGGGGACGACAUCUCGAAAGGGAUGCUAAUACCGCGUACGUCCUACGGGAGAAAGCAGGGGAUCUUCGGACCUUGCGCUAAUAGAUGAGCCUAAGUCGGAUUAGCUAGUUGGUGGGGUAAAGGCCUACCAAGGCGACGAUCUGUAGCGGGUCUGAGAGGAUGAUCCGCCACACUGGGACUGAGACACGGCCCAGACUCCUACGGGAGGCAGCAGUGGGGAAUAUUGGACAAUGGGGGGAACCCUGAUCCAGCCAUGCCGCGUGUGUGAAGAAGGCCUUAUGGUUGUAAAGCACUUUAAGCGAGGAGGAGGCUACUCUAGUUAAUACCUAGGGAUAGUGGACGUUACUCGCAGAAUAAGCACCGGCUAACUCUGUGCCAGCAGCCGCGGUAAUACAGAGGGUGCGAGCGUUAAUCGGAUUUACUGGGCGUAAAGCGUGCGUAGGCGGCUUAUUAAGUCGGAUGUGAAAUCCCCGAGCUUAACUUGGGGAAUUGCAUUCGAUACUGGUGAGCUAGAGUAUGGGAGAGGAUGGGUAGAAUUCCAGGUGUAGUCGCUGAAAUGCGUAGAGAUCUGGAGGAAUACCUGAUGGAGAAGGCAGGCAUCUGGCCUAAUACUGACGCUGAGUACGAC
RNAcentral lists this ribosomal RNA (709 nucleotides) under Acinetobacter baumannii. Its description in RNAcentral is "bacterial SSU rRNA". It matches the Rfam family "Bacterial small subunit ribosomal RNA", at positions 56 to 757 of the family's 1533-position model. Lineage: Bacteria; Pseudomonadati; Pseudomonadota; Gammaproteobacteria; Moraxellales; Moraxellaceae. The record is from RNAcentral.